This is a long non-coding RNA of Thalassophryne amazonica, 138 nucleotides long. RefSeq lists it as uncharacterized. Lineage: Eukaryota; Metazoa; Chordata; Actinopteri; Batrachoidiformes; Batrachoididae. The record is from RefSeq and is a predicted model, not a curated record. The transcript is spliced from 4 exons.
AUUAGAUAGAACUUCAUUAAUUCCUUGGGAAGACUCCCUCAGGGAAACUGAGGUUCCAGCAGCAUUGUAUAGCAGUACACAGGAUAAGAAGGACACAGAGUAUCAAAACAGAAAAUAAAAAAAUAAAUACACAGACAU